Apodemus sylvaticus (European woodmouse) is the source of this 117-nucleotide small nucleolar RNA. RefSeq annotates it as small nucleolar RNA SNORA26. Lineage: Eukaryota; Metazoa; Chordata; Mammalia; Rodentia; Muridae. The transcript has a single exon. The record is from RefSeq and is a predicted model, not a curated record.
AUAAAUAUAUAAAAAAAUGUCGCCUAAGAGUCUAACACAGAAGGGUAAAGGAACUCUCCAUAAAACCCAGAGAGGAAAACUACACUUCCUCUUUGGAUCCUGUCUGGAGUCACAGAU